GAAGCCCACCAGACCGCCGCUGGUGCAAGUGCCGAAAGGCCGCACUGGAGGAACGUCCGGACUGCAAAGGGCAGCGUAGCAGCUAACGGCUGUCCACCGUGAGGUGAGGAUCAGAGCAACAGAGACGAGUCGAGACGGGUAGCAAGCCACCGACGGUGUUCUAUCGGUCGCCCGCGCAAGCGGGCCAGGCUGGCGCAAGCCAGACGGUUUGCGGCGUAAGCCGCAAAGACCAUAGCCACCCGAAGCGGGCGGCGCCCGCUUCGGGUGAAACGGGCAAUCUCUACGCGCAGCAACACCAAGUAGGCACACGCUGAGCGGCGCAGUUCGCUGCGGUGUUCUCCCCGGGGCCCCCGGGUCGUGUGCGGGUAGGUGGCAUCGAGCCGGUGGGGCGACCCCCGGCCCAGAGUAAUGGCGGUCACGCGCGGGCAACCGCGUGCACAGAAUCCGGCUUAUCGGUGGGCUUCACAC
Molecule: RNase P RNA, 468 nt
Filed under: Acidovorax sp. HDW3
Lineage: Bacteria; Pseudomonadati; Pseudomonadota; Betaproteobacteria; Burkholderiales; Comamonadaceae
Description: Bacterial RNase P class A
Rfam family: Bacterial RNase P class A
About the family: Ribonuclease P (RNase P) is a ubiquitous endoribonuclease, found in archaea, bacteria and eukarya as well as chloroplasts and mitochondria.
Source: Rfam by way of RNAcentral